UAGCACAGUCUUAACGAUGGAUGUCUUGGUUCCUACAGCGAUGAAGGCCGCAGCAAAAUGCGAUACGCAAUGAAAAUUGCAGUGACUGUGAAUCAUCAGAAUGCUGAAUGUAAAUGACACCAAAUCCCUUCGGGGAAUAUGGUACUCCUACAGAAAAU
RNAcentral lists this ribosomal RNA (158 nucleotides) under Plasmodium gaboni. RNAcentral describes it as "5.8S ribosomal RNA". It matches the Rfam family "5.8S ribosomal RNA". Rfam says of the family: 5.8S ribosomal RNA (5.8S rRNA) is a component of the large subunit of the eukaryotic ribosome. It is transcribed by RNA polymerase I as part of the 45S precursor that also contains 18S and 28S rRNA. Lineage: Eukaryota; Apicomplexa; Aconoidasida; Haemosporida; Plasmodiidae. The record is from RNAcentral. RNAcentral also lists the same sequence under 1 other name.